GUCAAGCUCAGCUCCCGGAAGAUACAGUUUCACGUGCUCCAUGGUUCCCCCGUCCCAACGCCAGGUCGUCCCUGCUCCAAGUGCAGGGAUGACGGUUGGAUUCCUGAGGCUAACACACGCAGCCGGUUGUUAAAAGUUCCAGGACUUCAAAACAAUAUGAUAUACAAUACAAUAGGAAGAGGAUCGAGGAAGAACUAGCCCAAACAACCUGUGACCCGUGACUACCAAUAUUUAUAAGCGACUUAACAGAAAAACAUGCCCAAAGUCGCUUAUAAUAAGUGGACUUGGCAACUGUGGUCACUGCCACAAUCAGGAAGAAAACGCAACCUGCCACCAGCAGCUUUGAGAAGAUUGGUCAGGAUGGUCAAGAGUCUGGAAAAAACACUCAAAAGCAAGUCUGCAAUGAAUCAGAAGCUGCUGAAAGUACAGGUGACAAGUGUGUUUCGCAUCAACAUAAGCUUAGAGGUUGCUGUGCAAGACAGAAGCCCUUGCUCCAGACUCGGCACCGGAAACUCUGCGGUCAGAUGAAACACAAAUUGAGUUGUUAGGCCACAAUGAGCAGUAAUAUGUGUCGAGGCGAGAAAGUGAGUCCUUUCACCCCAAGAACACUGUACCUAUACUGUCAAGCAUGGUGCUGGUAGUAUUAUGCUGUAGGGCUGUUUUGCUGCCAGUGGAUCUACUGCUGUAAGGAAAGUACAUGGAAUAGUGAAGAAAGAGGAUUGUCUCCAAAUUCUGCAGGAAAACCUAAAACUGUCAGCCAGAAGUUUGGUUCUCAUGCACAGUUUGGUGUUCCAACGGGACAACGAUCCCAAACACACAUUAAAAAUAGUAAAGGAAUGGCUAAAUCGGGCUAGAAUUGAGGUUUUGUGAAAGGUCUUCCCAAGUCCUGACAUGAACCCAAUCAUGGACUGUGGUGACAAAACAAGUCGGUGCCAGAAGCUGACUAAUUUCAUUAAACUUCUCAGAUUCUGUCAAGAGGAGGGAUUAAAAUUUCAUCCAGAGGCUGGUGGGUGACUAUGAACAGCACAUAACUGAGGUGAAAAUGUCCAAGGUCCAUUUAACCAAAUAUUAGAUUUAUUGUAUAUUUUUGACCCGGCAGACUCAGUCACAGUUUCAGAAGACCCAUUAUAAAUUCAGACUUGAAGCAAACUUCAUGGAUGUUUUUUUUGUAACAAAAGUAGUUUGUGUUCCUCUCAUUCCAUCACAGAAAAAAUAAGGACUGUAGAAAUCAUUGGAACUGAAGACUACCACGAUUUACAUUUUCUUUACAAGCUUAUGCAAACUUUUGAGUUCACCCCCCCCAAAAAAAGAAAAAAGUUAUCCUCUCAAGGUUUCAGUCCCAUGCUGAUGGAAAGUCUGGUUAAGUUUUGUGGUCCACAAAACAUUUCUGAAGUUUGACAGUGAAAAAACAAAAAUGUUUUGCAACAUUCUUGUAAAGACCCCCUUCAGAGAAUGUUUUCAACCUUGCUAACCUGUCAAAAUGGUGUUUUCUGUAUUAUGUGAGACAUAUCAUUAGCAAAAUAACCAACCCAUGCCAUAGCUGUGCAUUUCUGCUUUAGACAUUUUUUUUCCAAAAUUAGGUCCACAGGAAAGGAAUGUGACCUUGGCAACUCUAUGUCAAAAACUAAAGGAACCAAUCGUGUCAACUUGUGCGGUGGGGCAAUCUCAUUAACUGGGAAAUAAGCUGUGAAGCUCCGGAAAUGUUUUGCAAACUACGAAACUUCAUCCGACUUUACGCCUGCAUGGGCAUGAUCGGAAAUUAUUUGAUUUUUCAUUUUUGGGUGAAUUCAUCCUUUAAAGGUAAAUUUACCCAACAAUAAUAGUCCCACAUUCCUCAGUCAACUCUCACUGUCAUGAAGCCAUUAUAAAGGCUCAAAUGAGUUUUACAGGCCACAAUUAGGAACUUUCCAGUGCUGAUACUCAUUUCAGUGUCAGUUGCUGGAGUUCAAGUUAAGGUGAGGCUACAAAGUCUAACCAGAUGCUGAAACUAGGCCUCUGAGCCUCUCCCUCUUAAAUGUUAGUGCUUGCCUACAGAUAGCACCAAUGUUUCCUGUGGUCCCCUCGUUUGUCUUAAGUGAGGUAUCUGAAGUAGGUGUCUAUAAGUAUUGUAGAUAUACUCACUAUCAUUAUUCAGUGCUGGACUGUACAACAAAAUAAUAUGUACAAAAAAUACAGAAUUAUAUGUAGGCCCAGUUGUACACACAUUAAUAAUUUUUUUGCGAGGACCACUUAUUAUUUCUUCUCUCGAAAAAGAUCCUGAAAUCUGUGAAGAACUGAAAAACUGAUGCCUAUAUAUGACCAACAAAAGCAAACAAGACCAUGAGAAAGAAGACUGGCUGUUUCUGUCAAAAUAUUAUAGCUUUUCUUAAUAUCUGUCGGUGAGGUGGAUUCCAGCUGAUCCAGAUUGGAAAAGUAAUACAAUAAAUGUACAAUUGUACAAUGACUCAUUAAAAUAACAUGCUGAAGCAGAGGUCUAUAAACCAGUUAGCAUUUA
Molecule: long non-coding RNA, 2494 nt
Organism: Acanthopagrus latus (yellowfin seabream)
Lineage: Eukaryota; Metazoa; Chordata; Actinopteri; Spariformes; Sparidae
Exons: 2
Source: RefSeq, a predicted model, not a curated record